UUAAAAACAGAGGAAAGACCAGUAAGAUUUUAGCGCCCCCGCCAGUGAAUUGAGGCUAGUGGAAACUCAAUCGGGAUGGACAGAAUCCGAACAACACUUUCUUAGUUGCUAACCCAAAGGGCACUGCCUGAGUAGGCUUAGUCGUCACCGGGACGUUAUGGCCGGCGGAGUAUGUUAGUACUCUAUGAGGUGGUUUAUUUGAAAUAAACAACUUGGGUGGUACCGCGGAAACCUUUUCCGUCCCAUGA
This 248-nucleotide non-coding RNA is filed under the name Lacticaseibacillus thailandensis. RNAcentral describes it as "Lactobacillus thailandensis T-box sequence". It matches the Rfam family "T-box leader". From Rfam's summary of the family: Uncharged tRNA acts as the effector for transcription antitermination of genes in the T-box leader family. The record is from RNAcentral. Lineage: Bacteria; Bacillati; Bacillota; Bacilli; Lactobacillales; Lactobacillaceae.